GCUGGGCUGUGCGCUGGGUGGGGCUGCCCUGCGUCGGCCUCCUCCUGCUGAUCCAAGUCCUCAUCCUGCUCUCCACCAAGUGCCCCCGUACAGCAGGGAGAGCAGCAGCAAUGAAGAAUGAUGUGCACCCAAGGCAGAGCCCGGAGACAGAAUAUGCAGCUGUGAGCCACGGCGGCAGAAAUGUUCCUGCAUGACUGAUGUAUUCACAUGUUCAGCCUUAAAAUAAAAAC
Molecule: long non-coding RNA, 230 nt
Organism: Alligator mississippiensis (American alligator)
Lineage: Eukaryota; Metazoa; Chordata; Crocodylia; Alligatoridae
Exons: 3
Source: RefSeq, a predicted model, not a curated record